This 460-nucleotide ribosomal RNA is filed under the name uncultured bacterium. RNAcentral describes it as "partial 16S ribosomal RNA". It matches the Rfam family "Bacterial small subunit ribosomal RNA", at positions 338 to 795 of the family's 1533-position model. The record is from RNAcentral.
CCUACGGGAGGCAGCAGUGAGGAAUAUUGGUCAAUGGACGAAAGUCUGAACCAGCCAAGUAGCGUGAAGGAUGACGGCCCUAUGGGUUGUAAACUUCUUUUAUAUGGGAAUAAAACAGGGUAUGCAUACCCUCUUGUAUGUGCCCUAUGAGUAAGGAUCGGCUAACUCCGUGCCAGCAGCCGCGGUAUUACGGAGGAUCCGAGCGUUAUCCGGAUUUAUUGGGUUUAGAGGGAGCGUAGGUGGAUUGUUAAGUCAGUUGUGAAAGUUUGCGGCUCAACCGUAAAAUUGCAGUUGAAACUGGUAGUCUUGAGUGCAGUAGAGGUGGGCGGAAUUCGUGGUGUAGCGGUGAAAUGCUUAGAUAUCACGAAGAACUCCGAUUGCGAAGGCAGCUGACUGGACUGCAACUGACACUGAGGCUCGAAAGUGUGGGUAUCAAACAGGAUUAGAUACCCUAGUAGUC